RNAcentral lists this transfer RNA (76 nucleotides) under Candidatus Curtissbacteria bacterium RIFCSPLOWO2_02_41_11. Its description in RNAcentral is "tRNA-Val". It matches the Rfam family "tRNA". Rfam says of the family: Transfer RNA (tRNA) molecules are approximately 80 nucleotides in length. The record is from RNAcentral. Lineage: Bacteria; Candidatus Curtissiibacteriota.
GGGCUCAUAGCUCAGUUGGUAGAGCAUUCGCAUCACACGCGAAAGGCCUCAGGUUCGAGUCCUGAUGAGCCCACUA